AAAUUGAAGAGUUUGAUCAUGGCUCAGAUUGAACGCUGGCGGCAGGCCUAACACAUGCAAGUCGAACGGUAACAGGAAGAAGCUUGCUUCUUUGCUGACGAGUGGCGGACGGGUGAGUAAUGUCUGGGAAACUGCCUGAUGGAGGGGGAUAACUACUGGAAACGGUAGCUAAUACCGCAUAACGUCGCAAGACCAAAGAGGGGGACCUUCGGGCCUCUUGCCAUCGGAUGUGCCCAGAUGGGAUUAGCUAGU
This 252-nucleotide ribosomal RNA is filed under the name Escherichia coli. RNAcentral describes it as "partial 16S ribosomal RNA". It matches the Rfam family "Bacterial small subunit ribosomal RNA", at positions 1 to 249 of the family's 1533-position model. Lineage: Bacteria; Pseudomonadati; Pseudomonadota; Gammaproteobacteria; Enterobacterales; Enterobacteriaceae. The record is from RNAcentral.